This 376-nucleotide long non-coding RNA is filed under the name Hordeum vulgare. Its description in RNAcentral is "long non-coding RNA (HVUL_LNC013911)". Lineage: Eukaryota; Viridiplantae; Streptophyta; Magnoliopsida; Poales; Poaceae. The record is from RNAcentral.
UAAAGUUUUUGUAUAUGAAACAGUAGGAUUGUUCUUUAUUUAGGUUUCCGCUCAUGAUACAAUAUGUGUGCAAAUGUGUCGACUUUCUACUACAUAUGCUAAUAUAAUUUAUUUGAGUAAACAACGUGUGUCUAAUACUAUCUGAGACGGUCCCUCAAACUGCCCACAGAAGUUGAACAAGUACCACCAAUUUUGCUUCUGCAUCUCUGAGGCCAUAACUACUCAUACCCCUGAAUUAUUAUGUAUCCUAUUAACUGAUUCAUCACCUCGUACCUGCGACGCCGUUCACUUUGACAUGCUCACCUGUUGCUCCAUCCUGCGAGAGUGGUCACCUCUGCGUGCCGGCUAGCGAGUACUGCUUGCCCAACCACAUGUC